This 75-nucleotide transfer RNA is filed under the name archaeon. RNAcentral describes it as "tRNA-Cys". It matches the Rfam family "tRNA". From Rfam's summary of the family: Transfer RNA (tRNA) molecules are approximately 80 nucleotides in length. Their secondary structure includes four short double-helical elements and three loops (D, anti-codon, and T loops). Further hydrogen bonds mediate the characteristic L-shaped molecular structure. tRNAs have two regions of fundamental functional importance: the anti-codon, which is responsible for specific mRNA codon recognition, and the 3' end, to which the tRNAs corresponding amino acid is attached (by aminoacyl-tRNA synthetases). tRNAs cope with the degeneracy of the genetic code in two manners: having more than one tRNA (with a specific anti-codon) for a particular amino acid; and 'wobble' base-pairing, i.e. permitting non-standard base-pairing at the 3rd anti-codon position. The record is from RNAcentral. RNAcentral also lists the same sequence under 1 other name.
GCGGAGAUCGCCUAGCGGCUUGGCGUGAGCCUGCAGAGCUCAUUUACGUGUGUUCGAAUCACACUCUCCGCUCCA